Molecule: long non-coding RNA, 700 nt
Organism: Zophobas morio
Lineage: Eukaryota; Metazoa; Arthropoda; Insecta; Coleoptera; Tenebrionidae
Exons: 2
Source: RefSeq, a predicted model, not a curated record
ACCUUGCAGUUGGAGCGAGAGAAGAGGAUAGUAACGGAUUUUUUUCUGGGUGUAGUAACCCUUGUCGGGACUUGUUUCAGACACCUUGAAGAUUUUCGUCCCAUUGCGUUGGUAGGACCGACGAGACGUACGACCACGCCCACCCAGUCCACGUUUCCGUACUAUUACCAUUUUCUACCAAAACUGUUAAUAAAUUGUGACGUUACAAUAAAUAAAUCGAACCUUUGUUUUCUUGGGACGCGGACGAAUUAUCCUGGAUGUCGAUACUCGAUUUUAGUUGUUUUUGUUGCAGGGCUGAUAGUAAGACUAGUAGGCGUAGGAACAUAGGGACUUGUUGUUCAGUCAUGCUGAAUUCCAUGCUACAAUAACACAGUAGGUGAAUAAUGAAGAUGACGUCACGCGUUUUCGCGCCACUUUUUCAAAUACGACCAAUCCCGAUUCGUAUUUUCAUUAAAUUCUUACCUGUUACAGUAAAUAUCCAAGCGAGUCAGUGACGUUUUAUUUGACGUUGACGAGUUGUAAGUUCUUAAUAAAUGCAUGGUCAUGGAACAACGAUACAACAUGGGUUCUUGGUAGAAAUCGAUUUUUCCCGACGCGUUUCUUUUGUCUAAACAUACCGUCAAAUCGUUGACGCCUAUCACUUUUCUCAUGAUAACGUGCGUUGGGGAGAUGUCUAUAAAUAAAUUCGUAAAACACAAAA